GAUGAAGAACGUAGCGAAAUGCGAUAAGUAGUGUGAAUUGCAGAAUUCAGUGAAUCAUCGAAUCUUUGAACGCACAUUGCGCCCUUUGGUAUUCCAAAGGGCAUGCCUGUUCGAGCGUCAUUUGUACCCUCAAGCUUUGCUUGGUGUUGGGCGUCUUGUCUCUAGCUUUGCUGGAGACUCGCCUUAAAGUAAUUGGCAGCCGGCCUACUGGUUUCGGAGCGCAGCACAAGUCGCACUCUCUAUCAGCAAAGGUCUAGCAUCCAUUAAGCCUUUUUUUCAACUUUUGACCUCAGAUCAGGUAGGGAUACUCGCUAAACUUAAGCAUAUCAAUAAGCGGAGGA
Molecule: unclassified non-coding RNA, 341 nt
Filed under: soil metagenome
Description: partial contains 5.8S ribosomal RNA, internal transcribed spacer 2, and large subunit ribosomal RNA
Rfam family: 5.8S ribosomal RNA (bases 1-120)
Source: RNAcentral